Molecule: long non-coding RNA, 2856 nt
Organism: Symphalangus syndactylus (siamang)
Lineage: Eukaryota; Metazoa; Chordata; Mammalia; Primates; Hylobatidae
Source: RefSeq, a predicted model, not a curated record
CACCACUAGGGUCAGUAAGGUGGGUGGAAUCCUGGGGUCCUCCAAACUUCCCUGGCCUUCUCUCCACUUUCCUCUUUAUUUUUGUUUUGUUUUUUGCCAUAUACUGGCAUUUUUAAAAAGAGCCCAGGCAUUGUGCAGUGGCUCACGCCUGUAAUCCCAGCACUUUAAGAGGCUGAAGCAGGCGGAUCACCUGAGGUCAGGAGUUCAAGACCAGCCUGGCCAACAUGGUGAAGCCCCAUCUGUACUAAAGAUAAAAAAAAAAAAAAUUAGCCAGGCAUGGUGGCACUCGCCUGUAAUCCCAGCUACUCAGGAGGCUGAGGCAGGAGAAUUGCUUGAACUCUGGAGGCGGAGGUUGCAGUGAGCCAAGAUUGCGCCACUGCACUCCAGCCUGGGCAAGGGAGAGACUCCGUCUCUAAAUAAAUAAAUAAAUAAGUAUGUUUUAAAAGAGCCCAGGCGAUUCUACAGUAACACACAAACAAGGCUGCAAACCCUGGACUGGCCGCUUCACGUCCCUUUCUUAGUACAGGUGCCUUCUCUUCCUAGUUAGUGCUAUUUACAUGAAGCAUCUCCAGGUGACUUUCAACUUCCCUAUAUUCAAAUGUCUUGCCAUAUGCUCUUUUGCAUAAUAAAAGUACAUAUACCACACUGAGUAUUGCUCUGUGUAAAGCUGACGGUGCUGUUCACAUCAGAAAUUGCAGCACUGAAGAACAGAGUUCAUGCAGAUUUUUACAACAUGCAUCAGCUACAGUGAGUAUUCUUGCAUGCUUUUAGCCAAUGCAAGCUCUCAUGGCACGCUGUACUGUAAGCUCCGGGUCGGUGUGCACUUCUGUUUUGUUCCUGCAUUUCAAGCCAUGUGAACUGACAUGUUUUCUUCCCCAUGGCAUUUGUUUGUUGAUGGUACCAGCUGUCAAAAACCAAGCAAGUGGCAGUGCUAGAGGUGCCACAAAAGUGCAAAGGAAGUGUUAGGCUGGAUGUCAAAAUGAACACCUUGGAGAACUAGAUGAUGGAACAGACCGUAAAAAUCAGCUAAACAUCAGAGAAAAUGGAGGAAGAGGUCAAAACUGUGAACAGGAACUAGAAGAAAGUGUAGCAGAAAAAGACUUGUCACAAACUUCGAGAGAUUUGGAGAAAAUGAUGUCAAAACACAUCUUCCUCAAGCCCAUGCUGAGUAUCUCUGAUUUGGUUAAUUUCUUGGCUGCUAGCAAGUUUAGGCAGGCCCUAGCACACCCAUCCCUGUGUGCUCCCCCAACCUCAGCCUAGCAAAUGAACCAGUGUAGUGUGAAGAUAUGUGAUUCGGGAUUGCCAUAUCAGUCAAGGUCCCAGCAGGAAGCAGAUGGCACAUUCAAACUGGACAAUUUGAGGAGCAAUUAGUAAGUGGACUGUUGGCGGUGCAUACCUGUAACCCCAGCUACUUAGGAGGCUGAGGCAGGAGGAUCUCUUGAACCCAGGAGUUCGAGGCCACAGUGAGCUAUGAUCUCCAGCCUGGGUGACAGGGUGAGACCCUAUCUCUAUUAAAAAAAAAAAAAAAAAAACAUGGACUGUUUGCAAAAGUGUGAGCAUGUGUACGGAAAACUUAAGGAAUAAUGAAGUAUCUUGGGGCCAUUACCUAGGCCUACAGAGGAUGGUUGCUGGAAUGCAGAGAUAGAGAGAGAUAUGGAGACUGUCACUUCGUAGAUGAGGGAUGAAGGCAGCCUGUGCUGUGCACCAUGGAGGACAGAGAUUUAAUUAAUAGCCCAGCCAUCCAUGGAGCCCAUGCUGGUGCUCCUCACUGGCCAAACCCAAGUGGAAGGCAGAAGGCAAGGAAGCCCACAAAUCUAGGCCAGGUCAUCCUCCAAGGGCACUGAGCAGGGAGGAGAAGAAUAGAGACGUGAAGAGGCAGAAGGAAGAUACGGAGCACACCUACCUGCUAGGGUAGGACUGAAAGAGCCACUGGGGAUUCUGAACGCAAGCCAACACGGCAAAAGGCAGAAGACAAAAAUGUAGUAAAACCAAGUCACCUGUGGUGCCAUCCAAGCUGCUGAACAGACGCCACCUGAAGCUAACUAGAUACCUCAGUAUAUUUCUCAGUAUAGGAGCCAAUAGAUUCCCUUUAUUGUCCAGAUGUUACUUGAAACACAAAAAGCCCUCACAGAUGUAAUGAGUUCUUCGAGUAUUACUGAGGUUUCAAUAAGCAGAAAUGGAGAAAUCACUUUCCAGAAACAGGGAACAGAAUAAGCAAAGGCCAAGGUGAAAAUGAGGGGCAUGUUUGGGGAUCCGUGAGUAGGCAGUUGACUGGAGCCUGUAGGCCAAGUAUUAGCAGAAGAUUCCAGAAAGAUAAGUGGGGUCUCAUAGACUGGAAGUCCUAGAACUGGAAGUCAAGGAGUUGGGAGCUCAUGCAACUGGCAAUGGAGAACCACCAAAAGGUGAACUGUUGUGCUUGUAAUUAUUUUCUUCAUGGUUUCUUUGGGGUCCUGGGAGUGUGUGGUGGCUGGUAUGUGUAACUGUGAUUAACUUUACAUCGUGAAAAGUCAGUCACCAAAAGGCAGGAGAAGAGGCUAGAUGGGACUCGCCUGCAGAACUGGACGGAGAGCUCUGCGGCUGCCACCGAAUCUGCUCCAGGAUCCUGCCGAGUCUCCUCCCACCCAGGGUAAACCAUUUCCACUUACUACGGACUCCACCUUGUGGUCAUGCUUGAGAACUGCACCACUGCCUCCGCAGUCCUACCCACAAGGGCAACAGGAUCACCACCCUCUUUCCUUGUCCCUCUCAUACCUUUAGGUCUCUUAAAAAAAUGAAAGCAACAGUGUACAGAAAGAAGUAUAAAGGAAAAAUUAUUUCAAAAUUAAAAUUUAACAAAUAAAAGCAUACCAAGAUAAA